This is a long non-coding RNA of Parus major (Great Tit), 1840 nucleotides long. RefSeq lists it as uncharacterized. The transcript is spliced from 3 exons. Lineage: Eukaryota; Metazoa; Chordata; Aves; Passeriformes; Paridae. The record is from RefSeq and is a predicted model, not a curated record.
ACCGGACACCAUUGGAGAAGCUCCCGCGGUAACCAGAGUGCCCGGCGACUUUCUGGACAAGGAUCUUCCCACCUGUGUUGUCAAUUAUACCGCUGCAAGGAGGAAACAUGGUGUCUGAGGGGAGAAAUUCCACAAAAUCCUUCAAAACUGUUCUACAAUGCGAGAGAUUUCACCAAUAAGAAGAUGUAGACCACAGAAGACUGUCCCAAAUUACCACAUAUUUUGAGAUGCAAUUUGAUGGAAAGGCUUUCUCCAAAACAGGGCACAAGUAGGCUUUUCUGACUUAUGUGAUGCCAGUAUUUGCCCUUGUAACAUUUGUACCAAGUUGCUCCAUGGGAAAUACUCUAAACUUCUCUAAUCUCUCAUCCCACUCAUCAUCAUGGGAAGGACACUCUGUCCCACGUAGCCUCAUUUCCAAGCAGCUUCUUUCUUCCUGUGCUUCAUGUCCUAAACCUUCUUCAACCAAACCCAGAAGAACAAAAUUUUCAAGUGUUGAAGAUGCAUUGCAAAGGAGGGCCUCAGUCACUAAAAAAAAUGAGCCCAAAGAGGUGACCCAGCCAUGUCCUGCUGCAGAGGAGACUAGAGAAGAUGGCAAGAGAGAUGAGGGUGAGCUGGAUGUAGAAAGAGGGAAUGGGCUCUGUUCUCUGCUGGCAGGGCACCUGCAGAGGAUGUGGUGGCAGCCCUCAGACACCACUAAAUGUAGAGCUGCCCCAGAACACAGUUAGGUACCAAAUGUUUGCAGAUCCCAGAGUAAAUACUUGGGUAGCUAGCCCAUGAAUGCCAUGCUGCCAGGACUGCCCAAACCUGGCACCUCCCGGUGUUUGUUUGCAAGGGGCAGCUUUACCCACACAGGCUGCAAUCACAGCUGGGCACUACAGCUACCCCAUAGAUGCCUUUGGAGCCUACAGGAUUUCAGUAGAUCCUGACUUGUCUGUGGGCCACAGUGCUGGAAGAAAAGUUCAUCAGUAAUACAUGCUCCCGUUUUAUCUGAACAAGUCCCUUCACAUCCCUCUCUUUGCAUCAGCUUGCUAUCCACAGGGCAUUAUCACGAGUCAGCACAAAGCAGUUUUACUCCUGCCCUGCAUUGCGCUCUCAGCGGUGCCUGCAGCCCCUUUGGGCUGGGGGCUUAGAGAGUUCACAAGGGGGAUUCAGGCUCUGGCAAGAAAGACAGCGUUUAAUUUACUAACAGAGAUGCAAUCUAAACAGCUACAGAUUUUCUGGGCAUUUCUGUGCCUUCCUGAGCCUCUUGUGCUGCAGCGAGAAGCUGUGCUGCGUGUGCAGCAUUUACCCAGUUUUCCAAGAGGGAAAUGUGCAGCAAAUAAAGGAACUGGGAUGCAAAAGAGUGGCAGCUGCUUUAGGACUGUUGGAGAAGUUCUUUUACAGACAAAUGAACCGUCAAUUUGUAGUAAGACAUUGUUUUCUAAACAUAGCAUGAAAACUGUUAUCUUGCCUGGCUGGUCAUUAGAAGAGAGAUAAUUAUAGUCUCUGUGAGACAGCCGGGCCCAGAACAGGGGCUGCAUUGUCCCAGGUCCCAGCUGAGCUCUAGCACAGGCUCCCCAGGCAGUGCUGGGACAAGGGGGCUCCUUGUGCCCCGGCAAGUUCAAAGGAGGAAUUGAAGUGCUCUAAGUAGGUGUUAAGCACCUAUUUCUCUUUCCGACUCUGGACUUAAAAAUCUACUCCACAAGAGAGAGAUGUGGAGGGCAGACCCGUGACUACUGUAGCUGCAUCCUCCCUGGCUUUUUGUACAAUACAUGCCAUGAUUAUUAUUUUCCUUUUAAUUAAAAAAAAAAAAUCAGACCCCAAAUAAUCAGUUUUGCAAUUCUGUGUUUCUGUUUUUCAA